AAGUCGUAACAAGGUUUCCGUAGGUGAACCUGCGGAAGGAUCAUUAUCGUACAACUGAGGCACGAGGGCUGUCGCUGACUUUUCGUCGUGCACGCCCAAGUGCUCUCAAACAUCCAUCUCACCCCUAUGUGCACCACCGCGUGGGUCCCCCUUUGGCUCGUCCCGAGGGGGGCUCGCGUUUUCACACAAACUCGAUACAGUGUAGAAUGUCUUUCUUUGCGAUGACACGCAAUUAAUACAACUUUCAACAACGGAUCUCUUGGCUCUC
Molecule: unclassified non-coding RNA, 268 nt
Filed under: Russula sp.
Lineage: Eukaryota; Fungi; Basidiomycota; Agaricomycetes; Russulales; Russulaceae
Description: partial contains small subunit ribosomal RNA, internal transcribed spacer 1, and 5.8S ribosomal RNA
Rfam family: Eukaryotic small subunit ribosomal RNA (bases 1-46)
Source: RNAcentral